CCCUUAACAAGUAACAAUUAGAGGGCAAGUCUGGUGCCAGCAGCCGCGGUAAUUCCAGCUCUAAUAGCGUAUAUUAAUAUUGUUGCAGUUAAAAAGCUCGUAGUUGAAAUUUGGAACUUUAUUGUAUUGGUUUAUCUUUUGAUGAACUGUAUGAUGGGUUUCUUCCUACUAGAGUUCGAUUCUGUUCUUAACUGAAUGGAGUAGCUAUCUUUCGGGGUGGUCAAUUGGUUGUUAUAUCUCCACUAAUGAGCAGAGAGGGGUUAAACCUUCAAAGUAAGUUAUGUGGGUCAAGGUAUAAUGAUUAAUUGGAGUUCUAGUUCAUUUACUUUGAGAAAAUUAGAGUGUUUAAAAGCAGCCUCUUGGGGCACUGAAUACAUUAGCAUGGGAUAAUAAAAUAGGAUCUUCACAAUAUAUUUUAUUGGUUUAAAUUGCGUAUGAAGAUAAUGAUUAAUAGGGACAGUUGGGGG
RNAcentral lists this ribosomal RNA (467 nucleotides) under uncultured eukaryote. RNAcentral describes it as "partial 18S ribosomal RNA". It matches the Rfam family "Eukaryotic small subunit ribosomal RNA", at positions 531 to 888 of the family's 1831-position model. The record is from RNAcentral.